GAUGAACGCUGGCGGCGUGCCUAAUACAUGCAAGUCGAGCGAACAGACGAGGAGCUUGCUCCUCUGACGUUAGCGGCGGACGGGUGAGUAACACGUGGAUAACCUACCUAUAAGACUGGGAUAACUUCGGGAAACCGGAGCUAAUACCGGAUAAUAUAUUGAACCGCAUGGUUCAAUAGUGAAAGACGGUUUUGCUGUCACUUAUAGAUGGAUCCGCGCCGCAUUAGCUAGUUGGUAAGGUAACGGCUUACCAAGGCAACGAUGCGUAGCCGACCUGAGAGGGUGAUCGGCCACACUGGAACUGAGACACGGUCCAGACUCCUACGGGAGGCAGCAGUAGGGAAUCGUCCGCAAUGGGCGAAAGCUUGACGUAGCAACGCCGCGUGAGUGAUGAAGGUCUUCGGAUCGUAAAACUCUGUUAUUAGGGAAGAACAAAUGUGUAAGUAACUAUGCACGUCUUGACGGUACCUAAUCAGAAAGCCACGGCUAACUACGUG
RNAcentral lists this ribosomal RNA (497 nucleotides) under uncultured bacterium. RNAcentral's name for it is "partial 16S ribosomal RNA". It matches the Rfam family "Bacterial small subunit ribosomal RNA", at positions 28 to 507 of the family's 1533-position model. The record is from RNAcentral.